AAUCUUGUGAGGAGAUAAGCUCACGUGGUGGAAACAAGGACACACUCACGUUGAACUUUCAGAA
Non-coding RNA from Synechococcus sp. MIT S9508, 64 nucleotides. NCBI's taxonomy places the organism in Bacteria, Bacillati, Cyanobacteriota, Cyanophyceae, Synechococcales, Synechococcaceae. The record is from Rfam.